RNAcentral lists this long non-coding RNA (3619 nucleotides) under Homo sapiens (human). Its description in RNAcentral is "non-protein coding lnc-DKK3-8:5". The record is from RNAcentral. Lineage: Eukaryota; Metazoa; Chordata; Mammalia; Primates; Hominidae.
GCCUUUCUGGGUCCUCCUCUCCUAGGGUGAGGCUGGAGAGGGAGUGGGUGUGGGGGGAGGUGGAAGGCAGCGAUGAGCCUGGAACUGGAUGAAGAGUCUCUGCCCCUCGCUCAGGGCCUGAGGAGGCCUUGUGACAUGCUGUAGCCAAUCAGAUGGCACUGGAGCAGCACUGUGCGUUGUCAAGCCUGGGGCUCAGGAGAUCUUGGAUGCCUCCCCUCUUUCUCUUAACAAGCCUGGACUGCCAGUUGGAGGAUGAAAGACCCACGGCCCAAUAGCCCUCUGUCACCCCAGCUGACACGCAGGCUCCAGAGCAGAACCCUACUGGCCCAAACACACAGAUGAGGAAAUGGAGGCACAGAGAGGCCACACUGCAAGCAAGUAGAGAGAAGACCCAAUCCCAAAUGUGAUUCCCUUCCUCCAACCCCGCUUCUGUCCCCAUCUGGCAGCAGCCUGAGCAUACCUGCUGUCUUCGCUGGUGACCAGGACACGCACAGCCAGCACAUCCUGUCCAGCUGCUUCCUCCCCAGGGCUGAUCCUCACUGAGGUCCACUCGGAGGGCAGGGGAGAGGCAGCGUCCCCUUCCGCAUCACUGUGCUGUGGCUCAGAGAUGCUCUUCGGCCUCUUGGGGGAGGUGGGCUCAUCUGCUGAGAGGAGAGCAGGGUCUAGAGAGAUGGUGCAAAUGAAUGGCCUAGCAGGACCCUUCCAGGGGCUCAGGGCCCCUCUAGGCCUGGGGUCUACUCAGAUACUCCAAAGCUGACCUUCUUGUCCUCCGUGCCACCUCUGGAACCCUCACCCCCGAGCCUGCCAGAUGCCCAGGCAUUUAGGGCAUAUUUCCCACAUGUAGGGCGUGAAUGCACAGAUCAUCCCAUUUAGUCCACAGGGAAGGUUCUGAAACAUUCAGAGGGGCCAUUCCAGGCUAACCAGCCUCUGAACUGCUGCUGUCAAGACGGCAACAUCCAACAUGUUGCUAAAUCCAGUGGUAACAUCUCAGUUCUCAUCUUAUUCGACUAUUCUACACACCAGCAGCAUUUGACCCAGCUGGUCACUCCGUCCUAGAAACAGCUCUCUCAGCUUCUAGGAUGGCAAGGCCUGCCCAAUCCCCAGCCCCUUCUUCACUGGCUAUCUCCUUCAUUUCCUCUCCUGGCUCCACCUUCUCCCCUUGACCUUGUAACACUGAAAGAUCCCGGGACUCAGUCUCUGAACCUCUUUUCUUCUCUGUCUACACUCAUGCUCUUGAUGCCCUCAUCUGGUCUCAUGGCUUUAAAUAACCCCAGGCAACAAUGACCCCCAGAUUUCUAUCUCCAGCCUGGACAUUCCUGAUUCUAGACUUAUAUAGACCACUGCUCACUUGCAUCUCCGUCUACGUGUCUAACAGACACAUCAGACUCAACAAGUCCGAACAGAGUUCUUCAUCUUCUCCACCCACCCAACAUGUCUUGCCCAUAGCCUUCCCCCUCUCAGUAAAUGGCAACUUCAGCUUCCUGUUGCUCCAGCCAACACCUCGCCAGCAUCUUUGACUGCUCUUGUCCUUUCGUUCUUCAUUCAAGUCAUCGGCAAAUCCUGGUGGGUCUGCCUUCAAAACACGUCGGGAAUCCAGACCCCUCUCACCGCCUCUCUGCUUCCCACUCCUGGUCCAGCCACCAUUGUCUUUUGCUUGGAUCAUAGAAACUGCCUCUGCCUGGCCUCCGUCCCUGCCUCUUGCUGUGCCCCACCCCCACAGUCUAUUCUCAACACAGCAGCCAGGGUGACUCAGUUAAAACCUGAGUGAGAUCAUGCCACUCCUCUGCUUAAAAUCACCCAGUGGCCCCUCAUUUACUCAGGGUGAAAGCUGAAGGCCCUACCGAGGCCUGCAAAGUCCAAGAUAACGUAGUCCCCAGUGCGUCCCGUGACCUUGUCUCCUAGCACUGGCCCCAGGCUUGCCCUGUCCUCACCAUGGCACCUCCGUGAUGCUCCUCCAGCACUCUGGGCACACGUCCUUCUCAGACCCCUUGCACUGCUCUUGCUUCUGCCUGGAAGGUGUUAUCCCCAGACGUUUCCAUGCAGGCCUCAUUCACUCACUGGCUGUCUUCAAGUCCUUGGUGGAACGUCACCUGCCCUGACCAUCCUAUUUAAUAUUGCAGCCCAUGCCUCAGUGCUCUCCAUUCCCCUUGAUUUUCAUUCAUAGUGUGUCUCACCCUCCAAUAAACUAUACAAUUUCCUUUUUUCAUUUUGUUUAUUGUCUCUUUCUUCUAUGACUAGAAUGUAAGCAGUGAUUUUUGUCUGUUUCAUUUGUUGCUAGGGUGGUACCUGGUGAACGGUAGGCGUUCAGUGAGUGUCUGCUGAAUGAGUUCAUGAGUGAAUGCGCCCAGCUCUGUCUUGGCCACUAACUAGCUAGGUGACCUCAUCUCCAGGGACAGUGUCCAGAGAACAGGUGUCAUUUUUCCUCUUCAAGAUGGAGCCUUCACCUGAACUUGGCUCCCUCUCACUUCCCUCCUCCCUCUCCACAGUGUCAUUCUUGUGUCCUCAUUUGUCUACUGAAUCUUUCCUGUCUAUAUUUAAAUAUGCUGAAAGUCUCCUGUCUUAAGAAAACUUGUUUUAAUCCCAGUCCUCACCCCCAGCCCCCAGCCUACUCUUUCUUCUUCCUUCUUAGCCAAGCUUCCUGGAAGGGUUGGCUACACUCUUCUCUCUCUCCUCUUCUUUAUGAACCCUCUAUUCCUAUAAUCCUGCCUGUGCCUCCACCACUCCCAAACUACCCCCAGCACAGUCCACAGUGACCUCCUUGUUUCUAAGUCCAAUUCACAGGACUUUGGGAGUCCUCCUGCGGUCCUUGAGCCUGCCCUGUCCCUGCUCCUGGGGACACCUUCUCUCCCUGCCCCUGUGGCUGGCCGUCUCAGCUAUCCAGUAUUCCAGCCAACCCUUAAACACCUGGGUUCUCCAUGCAUCCACCUGAGCCCUCUCAUCUUUUUACCCAUGUGUUCUCUCUGGGAGAUACAAUCUCUUCCCAAACUGUAUUUAUCACCUGUGAAGAUGACUGAAGAAAUUUUGAUUUUUAUGUGAAAUACCUCAUCUUAAAAUAUCAGACACAUCAAAAAAAAAAAAAAAACAUGUCUGCAGCAGACUGAGCAAGUGGGUUGCUAGUUUGUAGCCCCUGGUGCGUGUGGAUGCUUGCUGUGUGCACGUGUCUACACUUCUAAGUUAGUGUAACUGGGGAUGGAAGGCAUUUGAGGAAUGUAGUCAGAUGCUUCACUACAUAAUAAUAAUGACAUGGCGAUGGUGGUGGUGGUGGCAGCAUUAGUCAUAAUAAAAGCAGUAGCAGCUUACUUUUAUUGGGUGCUCAAUAUAUACCAAUAAUUGUUUGAGCAUUUGACAUGUAUUAAGUCUAUUAAAUCUCACCCGAUCCUCUCAGAAAAGCGUUGUUAUUACCCCCAUUUUCCUGCUGAGAAAACUCAAGCACAGAGAGGUUACGACACCAGCACAAGGUCAUGUAUUCUGUCAGAGGACGGGGAUCAGUCUGCGUGUCUGUGAGCACAACAGAACCAUGAAUGGACACUGUUGCGCAUGACCUUUGUGCUGGGAGUUUUGGCUGGAAAGUGCCCCCAGUUCUUUUCUCCCUCCCUAUACUAGAGUUGCGCUUUACGCU